RNA transcript from Prionailurus viverrinus (fishing cat), 3613 nucleotides. It is a transcript of the gene named cytochrome c oxidase subunit 1-like, with no coding region annotated. The record is from RefSeq and is a predicted model, not a curated record. The transcript has a single exon. Lineage: Eukaryota; Metazoa; Chordata; Mammalia; Carnivora; Felidae.
UUCUGCACAUAAAUUACUCUAAGGACUGCAAGAACUUACCUCACAUCAAUUGAUUGCAAAUCAAACACUUUAAUUAAGCUAAGUCCUCACUAGAUUGGUGGGCUCCAACCCCACGAAAUUUUAGUUAACAGCUAAAUACCCUAAUCAACUGGCUUCAAUCCACUUCUCCCGCCGUCUAGAAAAAAAAGGCGGGAGAAGCCCCGGCAGCGCCAAGCUGCUUCUUUGAAUUUGCAAUUCAACAUGACAUUCACCGCAGGACUUGGUAAAAAGAGGACUUGAACCUCUGUCUUUAGAUUUACAGUCUAAUGCCUACUCGGCCAUUUUACCUAUGUUCAUAAACCGCUGAUUAUUUUCAACUAAUCAUAAAGAUAUUGGCACUCUUUACCUUCUAUUUGGUGCCUGGGCCGGUAUGGUAGGGACUGCUCUCAGUCUCCUAAUCCGGGCUGAACUAGGCCAACCUGGCACACUAUUAGGGGAUGACCAAAUUUAUAAUGUAAUCGUUACUGCUCAUGCUUUUGUAAUAAUUUUCUUUAUAGUGAUACCCAUUAUAAUUGGAGGAUUCGGAAACUGAUUAGUCCCGUUAAUAAUUGGAGCACCCGAUAUGGCGUUCCCCCGAAUGAAUAAUAUGAGCUUCUGACUCCUUCCUCCAUCCUUUUUACUCCUACUUGCUUCAUCUAUGGUAGAAGCUGGAGCAGGAACUGGGUGAACAGUAUACCCACCCCUAGCCGGCAACCUGGCCCACGCAGGAGCAUCCGUAGAUUUAACUAUUUUCUCACUUCAUCUGGCAGGUGUCUCUUCAAUCUUAGGCGCUAUUAAUUUUAUUACCACUAUUAUUAAUAUAAAACCCCCUGCCAUGUCUCAAUACCAAACACCCCUAUUUGUUUGGUCAGUUCUAAUUACUGCUGUUCUGCUACUUCUAUCACUCCCAGUUUUAGCAGCAGGAAUUACCAUGCUACUAACAGAUCGAAAUCUAAAUACCACAUUCUUUGAUCCUGCUGGAGGAGGAGAUCCUAUCUUGUAUCAACACUUAUUCUGAUUCUUUGGUCACCCAGAAGUUUAUAUUUUAAUUCUACCUGGUUUUGGAAUAAUCUCACAUAUUGUUACCUACUACUCAGGUAAAAAAGAACCCUUUGGCUACAUGGGAAUAGUUUGAGCCAUAAUAUCAAUUGGCUUUCUGGGCUUUAUUGUAUGAGCCCAUCACAUGUUUACUGUAGGAAUGGACGUGGACACACGAGCAUACUUUACAUCAGCCACUAUAAUCAUCGCCAUUCCUACUGGGGUAAAAGUAUUUAGCUGACUGGCUACUCUUCACGGAGGUAAUAUCAAAUGGUCCCCCGCUAUGUUAUGAGCCUUAGGCUUUAUUUUCCUAUUUACCGUAGGGGGCUUAACGGGAAUUGUACUAGCAAACUCCUCAUUAGAUAUCGUUCUUCACGAUACAUAUUACGUAGUAGCUCACUUCCACUAUGUCUUGUCAAUAGGAGCAGUAUUCGUUAUCAUAGGAGGCUUUGUUCAUUGAUUUCCCUUAUUCUCAGGAUAUACUCUCGACAAUACUUGGGCAAAAAUUCAUUUCACAAUUAUGUUCGUGGGUGUCAACAUAACAUUCUUCCCUCAACACUUUCUAGGCCUAUCUGGAAUGCCACGACGUUACUCUGACUACCCAGAUGCAUAUACAACUUGAAAUACGAUCUCCUCAAUGGGUUCUUUUAUCUCACUAACAGCAGUUAUGUUAAUAGUCUUCAUAGUGUGAGAAGCUUUCGCGUCUAAACGAGAAGUGGCCAUAGUAGAGUUAACCACAACUAAUCUUGAGUGAUUACACGGAUGUCCCCCUCCAUACCACACAUUUGAAGAACCAACUUAUGUAUUAUUAAAAUAAGAAAGGAAGGAAUCGAACCCUCUUAAACUGGUUUCAAGCCAAUACCAUAACCACUAUGUCUUUCUCAAUCAAGAAGUAUUAGUAAAACAAUUACAUAACUUUGUCGAAGUUAAAUUAUAGGCUUGAAUCCUAUAUACUUCUAUGGCAUAUCCCUUCCAACUAGGUUUUCAAGAUGCUACAUCUCCUAUUAUAGAGGAACUCUUACAUUUCCACGAUCACACAUUAAUAAUUGUAUUCCUAAUUAGCUCCUUAGUCCUUUACAUUAUCUCAUUGAUAUUAACAACCAAGCUCACGCACACAAGCACAAUAGAUGCCCAAGAAGUAGAAACCAUCUGAACUAUCUUACCUGCCAUUAUCCUUAUUCUUAUUGCCCUGCCUUCCUUACGAAUUCUUUAUAUAAUAGACGAAAUCAACAACCCCUCCCUCACAGUAAAAACCAUAGGACACCAAUGGUACUGAAGCUACGAGUACACCGAUUAUGAGGACUUGAACUUUGACUCUUACAUAAUCCCCACUCAAGAACUAAAACCAGGAGAACUCCGGUUACUAGAAGUCGACAAUCGAGUGGUUCUGCCAAUAGAAAUAACUAUUCGCAUGCUAAUUUCAUCAGAAGACGUACUACACUCAUGAGCCAUCCCAUCCCUAGGUCUAAAAACUGAUGCCAUCCCAGGCCGACUAAAUCAAACAACCCUGAUAGGAACACGACCUGGCUUAUAUUACGGUCAAUGCUCAGAGAUCUGCGGCUCAAAUCAUAGCUUCAUGCCCAUUGUUCUUGAAUUAGUCCCACUGACAUACUUUGAAAAAUGAUCUGCAUCUAUACUUUAAAUUCAUUAAGAAGCUAAGUCAAGCGUUAACCUUUUAAGUUAAAGACUGGGAGUUUAAAUCUCUCCUUAAUGACAUGCCACAGCUAGAUACAUCAACCUGAUUUACUACUAUUAUAUCAAUAAUUAUAACACUAUUUAUUGUAUUCCAACUAAAGAUCUCAAAGUACUUAUAUCCAUCAAAUCCAGAACUUAAGUCCACAACUACACUAAAACAGCUCAACCCCUGAGAAAAAAAAUGAACGAAAAUCUAUUCGCCUCUUUCACUAUCCCAACAAUAAUAGGACUACCUAUUAUUAUCUUAAUUAUUAUAUUCCCAAGUAUUCUAUUUCCUUCACCCAAUCGACUAAUUAAUAAUCGCCUAGUCUCACUGCAACAAUGAUUGGUACAACUAAUAUCAAAACAAAUACUGGCCAUCCAUAAUCACAAAGGACAAACCUGAGCCCUAAUACUAAUAUCCCUUAUUUUAUUUAUUGGGUCAACAAAUUUACUAGGCUUACUACCCCACUCGUUCACUCCAACUACCCAAUUGUCAAUAAACUUAGGAAUAGCCAUCCCACUAUGGGCUGGCGCUGUAAUUACUGGGUUUCGCCACAAAACUAAAGCAUCUCUGGCCCAUUUCUUACCACAAGGAACACCUAUUCCCCUAAUCCCUAUGCUUGUAGUCAUCGAGACUAUUAGUCUCUUCAUCCAACCCAUAGCCUUGGCCGUACGACUUACAGCCAACAUCACCGCAGGCCACUUACUAAUACAUUUAAUUGGAGGAGCCGCUCUGGCCCUAGCAAACAUCAGCACCUCCAUUGCUUUAAUUACUUUUAUUAUCCUUAUCCUACUGACGAUCCUUGAAUUUGCCGUAGCUCUAAUCCAAGCCUAUGUCUUUACCCUACUAGUAAGCCUCUAUCUACAUGAUAACACUUAA